Long non-coding RNA from Patiria miniata (bat star), 170 nucleotides. RefSeq lists it as uncharacterized. The transcript has 2 exons. The record is from RefSeq and is a predicted model, not a curated record. Lineage: Eukaryota; Metazoa; Echinodermata; Asteroidea; Valvatida; Asterinidae.
UAACCCCCCCAAAAAAAGCUAAAAAGAAAAAGAGCGCCCUCUAGAGUUAGCUUAAUGACUUUCCCAAAAUGGCUGCGCCCAUCCGCACAAUCACGAAGAUAGAUGUUUAACAUUUCUACUUUAAUCUUGUGACACUGGACCUGCUGCUGAUAGUUCUGUCAUGGCUGCUA